Molecule: non-coding RNA, 46 nt
Organism: Trachymyrmex cornetzi
Lineage: Eukaryota; Metazoa; Arthropoda; Insecta; Hymenoptera; Formicidae
Source: Rfam
CAAUCGGCCCUUCUCAGGGCCACACACACACACACACACCUUGUAU